AGUGGAUGGGGAGCAACCUAGUUGUGCGUGUGUAAAGGUAGUGCCAAGAAAAGCGGUGAUCAUGAUGAAAAUCAAUUCCCGGUACCCGAAACCGACACAGGUGGGCAAGUAGAGAAUACUAAGGGGCGCGAGGUAACUCUCUCCAAGGAACUCGGCAAAAUGACCCCGUAACUUAGGGAGAAGGGGUGCCACCGAGAGGUGGUCGCAGUGAAGAGGCCCAGGCGACUGUUUAGCAAAAACAUAGGUCUCUGCAAACUCGAAAGAGGAGGUAUAGGGGCUGACGCCUGCCCAGUGCCGGAAGGUUAAAGAAGUUGGUCAGUCUUAGGAUGAAGCUAGCGACUGGAGCCCCGGUGAACGGCGGCCGUAACUAUAACGGUCCUAAGGUAGCGAAAUUCCUUGUCGGGUAAGUUCCGACCCGCACGAAAGGCGUAACGAUCUGGGCGCUGUCUCGGAGAGAGGCUCGGCGAAAUAGGAUUGUCUGUGAAGAUACGGACUACCUGCAUUUGGACAGAAAGACCCUAUGAAGCUUUACUAUAGCUUGGAAUUGUGUUCGGGCUUCCUGUGCGCAGGAUAGGUGGGAGGCGUAGAAGGUAUUCUUGUGGGGAUACUGGAGCCAACGGUGAGAUACCACACUCAGGAGGCUAGAAUUCUAACUUAAUUAAGGACAGUUUCAGGUGGGUAGUUUGACUGGGGCGGUCGCCUCCAAAAAGGUAACGGAGGCGUACAAAGGUUCCCUCAGACUGGUUGGAAAUCAGUCGCAGAGUGCAAAGGCAGAAGGGAGCUUGACUGCGAGAAGUACAGUUCGAGCAGGGUGGAAACACGGUCUUAGUGAUCCGACGGUGCUGUGUGGAAGGGCCGUCGCUCAACGGAUAAAAGUUACUCUAGGAUAACAGGCUGAUCUCCCCCAAGAGUUCACAUCGACGGGGAGGUUUGGCACCUCGAUGUCGGCUCAUCGCAACCUGGGGCGGAAGUACGUCCCAAGGGUUGGGCUGUUCGCCCAUUAAAGCGGUACGUGAGCUGGGUUCAGAACGUCGUGAGACAGUUCGGUCCAUAUCCGAUGUAGGCGUGAGAAUAUUGAGAGGAGCCUUCCUUAGUACGAGAGGACCGGGAAGGACGCACCGCUGGUGUACCUGUUAUGAUGCCAAUUGUAAACGCAGGGUAGCCAAGUGCGGAGAGGAUAACCGCUGAAAGCAUCUAAGUGGGAAGCCCACCUCAAGAUGAGUAUUCUGGUGUAAGGUCACGGGAAGACGACCCGUAAAUAGGCACGAGGUGGAAGUGCAGAGAUGUAUGAAGCCGAAGUGUACUAAUAGACCGUCGGCUUGACC
Molecule: ribosomal RNA, 1325 nt
Filed under: metagenome
Description: bacterial LSU rRNA
Rfam family: Bacterial large subunit ribosomal RNA
Source: RNAcentral